RNAcentral lists this ribosomal RNA (493 nucleotides) under uncultured bacterium. RNAcentral's name for it is "bacterial SSU rRNA". It matches the Rfam family "Bacterial small subunit ribosomal RNA", at positions 15 to 518 of the family's 1533-position model. The record is from RNAcentral.
GAUCAUGGCUCAGGAUGAACGCUGGCGGCGUGCCUAACACAUGCAAGUCGAACGAGCGAGAGAUGAAACCUAGUGAUUCUCGAGCGAGUGGCGGACGGGUGAGUAACGCGUGGGUAACCUGCCUUACAGAGGGGGAUAACAGUCUGAAAAGACUGCUAAUACCGCAUAAGCACACAGUACCGCAUGGUACAGGGUGAAAAGAUUUAUCACUGUAAGAUGGACCCGCGUCUGAUUAGCCAGUUGGCAGGGUAACGGCCUACCAAAGCGACGAUCAGUAGCCGACCUGAGAGGGUGAUCGGCCACAUUGGGACUGAGACACGGCCCAAACUCCUACGGGAGGCAGCAGUGGGGGAUAUUGCACAAUGGAGGAAACUCUGAUGCAGCCGACGCCGCGUGAGUGAAGAAGUAUUUCGGUAUGUAAAGCUCUAUCAGCAGGGAAGAUAAUGACAGUACCUGACCAAGAAGCCCCGGCUAACUACGUGCCAGCCGCUGC